AAAGAUUUUUCCCAGUCGGAGCUGUUUUUUCCAAGUUCAGUGGUCUUGAAUGCCUUGAAAUCUGAGUUUUCCGAGUUCCCAGUUAUUGUGAAUGCGGCAUACCUUUCAGUAGCCUGGCUGACGCGCGACCACGUGACUACACAGCGAUGUGAUGUUGCUGCAUUCAAGUGCUAGUCUGAACUAGUAAACUCGGAAUGUCCGACCUGCUAGUUAGUUGUAGUUAUACACAUGCCGCUCUCAACCACUUUUAGCGACUCGGGCAUGUCGAGUUUCUUAGUUCCAACUAGCACACGAACGCGGCAUACGACUCAAGCCCUGAGUCAAGACAAGCACGUAACGUUAUAGUGUUGGCAAGUCUAACAUUUCAGUAUUUUAGGGAUCAAAUCAACUAAAGAAGUCGACAAUGGAUGAUCGUGAGCUUGAUCUCAGAGUCACAGAAAGCUACCAAGUCACAAUACCCGGCGAUCAACAAGAAGUAUGAAUGAAGUAAGAGUUUUGCACAUUGACAGGAUGCACUUUAAAAUCCGCUCUAUUGGGUGGGGAGAAGAGUUCAGCUUGGUCAAGCAUCCACAGAGGACAGAGGUGAAGGCCAUCACUUACUCAGCCAUGCAGGUCCAUGACAUCGACAAGCCAGAGAUCUUUGCCAUCGUCGAUAUCUGAGGAUUUUCUACAGAGGAACUGUCUCUGAAGGGAACAGGACUAUCAGAGCAUGCCUGUGUGAAUGGACAUUGGAUUAAGGGCAACAGCACAGGUUUUGAUCAUGAGCUUGUGAAGUGUGAUGUUUUCCCCGUCAGGAAGCAAACCUGGUCCUAAUACAUGCUGUUUAUAGCUGCUAAGAGUAAUCUGGCUGUCUGACUAGAGUUUACUGAGGAAUGUCACUAAUUAAGAUUUGUUAUAAUUUUUAUGUAUCCCAAAUUAAUCUCCGAAUUUUCAAGACGAGACAGAAUCAUCACACAAAAUCCAGUUUGCCUACUACUAGGGAACUUAAACAUGAACAUGAAACCCCUUCUUGUUGACUAAUACAUAUUUUUGGUAUUAUGUACUGUGUUUUUUACAGGGUUAUAUUUAUUUUAAGCAUUUCAAUUGCCACCUCAGUGAUAGAGAUACUUAAAGGAUUCAUGCUGGGCACUACUCAUUGUAAAUAGUCAAAUCACAAGUGAUCUUUGGAUACUUUAGUUAAAUAAGUGUAUCUGUUUGCAAUUAGUUUUGUAAUAAAAAUAUUUUCCACACUACAA
Long non-coding RNA from Salvelinus fontinalis (brook trout), 1235 nucleotides. RefSeq lists it as uncharacterized. The record is from RefSeq and is a predicted model, not a curated record. Lineage: Eukaryota; Metazoa; Chordata; Actinopteri; Salmoniformes; Salmonidae. The transcript is spliced from 4 exons.